UAAGGAAUAUUGCUCAAUGGGAGAAAUCCUGAAGCAGCAACGCCGCGUGGAGGAUGAAGGGUCUAUGACUUGUAAACUCCUGUAAAGAAGGAAAAAAUUCACAUUUGAUGGGAGAUGAUGGUACUUCUGGAGUAAGCCCCGGCUAACUACGUGCCAGCAGCCGCGGUAAUACGCAGGGGGCAAGCGUUGUCCGGAUUUACUGGGUGUAAAGGGUGCUCAGGCGGAUUUGUAAGUCAGAGGUGAAAUCUUACAGCUUAACUGUGAAACUGCCUUUGAUACUGCGAGCCUAGAGUAUGGAAGAGAGUGAUGGAAUAUCUGGUGUAGCAGUGAAAUGCGUAGAUAUCAGAUAGAACACCAAUGGCGAAGGCAGUCACUUGGUCCAUUACUGACGCUAAAGCACGAAAGCGUGGGUAGCAAACA
This 420-nucleotide ribosomal RNA is filed under the name uncultured bacterium. Its description in RNAcentral is "bacterial SSU rRNA". It matches the Rfam family "Bacterial small subunit ribosomal RNA", at positions 355 to 774 of the family's 1533-position model. The record is from RNAcentral.